CGGAGGAAGGUGGGGAUGACGUCAAAUCAUCAUGCCCCUUAUGUCUUGGGCUUCACGCAUGCUACAAUGGCCGGUACAGAGGGCUGCGAUACCGUGAGGUGGAGCGAAUCUCAUAAAGCCGGUCUCAGUUCGGAUUGGGGUCUGCAACUCGACCCCAUGAAGUCGG
Molecule: ribosomal RNA, 166 nt
Filed under: uncultured Actinomycetes bacterium
Lineage: Bacteria; Bacillati; Actinomycetota; Actinomycetes
Description: uncultured actinobacterium partial 16S ribosomal RNA
Rfam family: Bacterial small subunit ribosomal RNA
Source: RNAcentral